GAUGAACGCUGGCGGCGUGCUUAACACAUGCAAGUCGAGCAAGAAGUUUUGAAAAGAUUCUUCGGAUGAAAUUUAAAAUGGAAAGCGGCGGACGGGUGAGUAACGCGUAGGCAACCUGCCCCAUACAAAGGGAUAGCAUUUGGAAACGAAUAUUAAUACCUUAUGAAACUUAACUAGUGCAUGCUAGGUAGGUCAAAGAUUUAUCGGUAUGGGAUGGGCCUGCGUCUGAUUAGCUAGUUGGUGAGGUAACGGCUCACCAAGGCGACGAUCAGUAGCCGACCUGAGAGGGUGAACGGCCACAUUGGAACUGAGACACGGUCCAAACUCCUACGGGAGGCAGCAGUGGGGAAUAUUGCACAAUGGGGGAAACCCUGAUGCAGCAACGCCGCGUGAACGAUGAAGGCCUUUGGGUCGUAAAGUUCUGUUUCUAGGUGAUGAAAACUGACAGUAACCUAGGAGAAAGCCCCGUAACUCCCA
This 477-nucleotide ribosomal RNA is filed under the name [Eubacterium] brachy. RNAcentral describes it as "bacterial SSU rRNA". It matches the Rfam family "Bacterial small subunit ribosomal RNA", at positions 28 to 506 of the family's 1533-position model. The record is from RNAcentral. Lineage: Bacteria; Bacillati; Bacillota; Clostridia; Peptostreptococcales; Anaerovoracaceae.